Molecule: ribosomal RNA, 1321 nt
Filed under: unidentified
Description: bacterial SSU rRNA
Rfam family: Bacterial small subunit ribosomal RNA
Source: RNAcentral
CCUAAUACAUGCAAGUCGAGCGGACAGAUGGGAGCUUGCUCCCUGAUGUUAGCGGCGGACGGGUGAGUAACACGUGGGUAACCUGCCUGUAAGACUGGGAUAACUCCGGGAAACCGGGGCUAAUACCGGAUGGUUGUUUGAACCGCAUGGUUCAGACAUAAAAGGUGGCUUCGGCUACCACUUACAGAUGGACCCGCGGCGCAUUAGCUAGUUGGUGAGGUAACGGCUCACCAAGGCGACGAUGCGUAGCCGACCUGAGAGGGUGAUCGGCCACACUGGGACUGAGACACGGCCCAGACUCCUACGGGAGGCAGCAGUAGGGAAUCUUCCGCAAUGGACGAAAGUCUGACGGAGCAACGCCGCGUGAGUGAUGAAGGUUUUCGGAUCGUAAAGCUCUGUUGUUAGGGAAGAACAAGUGCCGUUCAAAUAGGGCGGCACCUUGACGGUACCUAACCAGAAAGCCACGGCUAACUACGUGCCAGCAGCCGCGGUAAUACGUAGGUGGCAAGCGUUGUCCGGAAUUAUUGGGCGUAAAGGGCUCGCAGGCGGUUUCUUAAGUCUGAUGUGAAAGCCCCCGGCUCAACCGGGGAGGGUCAUUGGAAACUGGGGAACUUGAGUGCAGAAGAGGAGAGUGGAAUUCCACGUGUAGCGGUGAAAUGCGUAGAGAUGUGGAGGAACACCAGUGGCGAAGGCGACUCUCUGGUCUGUAACUGACGCUGAGGAGCGAAAGCGUGGGGAGCGAACAGGAUUAGAUACCCUGGUAGUCCACGCCGUAAACGAUGAGUGCUAAGUGUUAGGGGGUUUCCGCCCCUUAGUGCUGCAGCUAACGCAUUAAGCACUCCGCCUGGGGAGUACGGUCGCAAGACUGAAACUCAAAGGAAUUGACGGGGGCCCGCACAAGCGGUGGAGCAUGUGGUUUAAUUCGAAGCAACGCGAAGAACCUUACCAGGUCUUGACAUCCUCUGACAAUCCUAGAGAUAGGACGUCCCCUUCGGGGGCAGAGUGACAGGUGGUGCAUGGUUGUCGUCAGCUCGUGUCGUGAGAUGUUGGGUUAAGUCCCGCAACGAGCGCAACCCUUGAUCUUAGUUGCCAGCAUUCAGUUGGGCACUCUAAGGUGACUGCCGGUGACAAACCGGAGGAAGGUGGGGAUGACGUCAAAUCAUCAUGCCCCUUAUGACCUGGGCUACACACGUGCUACAAUGGACAGAACAAAGGGCAGCGAAACCGCGAGGUUAAGCCAAUCCCACAAAUCUGUUCUCAGUUCGGAUCGCAGUCUGCAACUCGACUGCGUGAAGCUGGAAUCGCUAGUAAUCGCGGAUCA